RNAcentral lists this non-coding RNA (311 nucleotides) under Candidatus Desulfosporosinus infrequens. Lineage: Bacteria; Bacillati; Bacillota; Clostridia; Eubacteriales; Desulfitobacteriaceae. The record is from RNAcentral.
UGCAAGACAAUGAUGAGAAUUAGUAUGUCUUUUAAGGAUGUUAUAGCGAGUCAGAGAAGGUGAAAGUCUGAUACAUUCCCGUAGACUGAAUGGAUCUCAGAGUCGUAAUCUGAACACGCUAAGCGUCAGUAGGUGCUACCGGGGGUUUCCCGUUACAGAAACACGGAUAUCGAGAGACCGACUCUCCGCAUCUGCUUAAUUAUGCACGAGAAUCGCAUCCUUCUCCGUAUCUAAGCUUGAAGUAUAGGCACUACAAUGUAGAUCCCAUACGAAAAAGGUGGCAUAAUGGAAAUUAACUUUCCGUCCUUUAC